This 379-nucleotide ribosomal RNA is filed under the name uncultured bacterium. RNAcentral describes it as "bacterial SSU rRNA". It matches the Rfam family "Bacterial small subunit ribosomal RNA", at positions 28 to 405 of the family's 1533-position model. The record is from RNAcentral.
GAUGAACGCUAGCGGCAGGCUUAAUACAUGCAAGUCGAGGGGCAACAGGGGUAGUGAUACCUGCUGGCGACCGGCAAACGGGUGCGCAACACGUACAGAACCUUCCUUUAAGCGGGGGAUAGCCCAGAGAAAUUUGGAUUAAUACCCCAUAGUAUAAUUGUCUGGCAUCAGAUGGUUAUUAAAGAUUUAUCACUUAGAGAUGGCUGUGCGUCUGAUUAGGAGUUGGUGCAGGUAAAGGCUCACCAAGCCUUCGAUCAGUAACUGGUGUGAGAGCACGACCAGUCACACGGGCACUGAGACACGGGCCCACUCCUACGGGAGGCAGCAGUAAGGAAUAUUGGUCAAUGGAGGCAACUCUGAACCAGCCAUGCCGCGUGAA